This 1276-nucleotide long non-coding RNA is filed under the name Scleropages formosus (Asian bonytongue). RNAcentral describes it as "lncRNA (ENSSFOG00015031606.1)". Lineage: Eukaryota; Metazoa; Chordata; Actinopteri; Osteoglossiformes; Osteoglossidae. The record is from RNAcentral.
GGUUUGUGGCUAAAACAAAACAAGCGAUUAAUCGGAUGUUGGAAACACUACGAAUGUGCGCUCGAGGUUCCGCUCUUCCGUCGUCCUGUUCCAUUUCCUGCCGAUGCUUUCGAAUGAACACGGAUAAAGAAGCGGGCGCGGUCCGGGUCUCCGCUUCACCGGCUCAGUCCCGAUCCGAGCUGAACGGCACAAAAGGACCGGCGGCAGGCCGGACCCCCAGGCGCAGAGACAUCACAAUGGGGCCCCGGAACAUCCAUCCCAGCCGCUCUGGGGAAGCGGGACCAAACAGCCGACCGCUAUUGUCUCGCUUGCGGGCAGCACCUCGGUGUGACCUAGCAGCGCGGUUAAGGACCCGCCUGUUUGUCCCAGGGAUUACAGCAGAGAGGCAGGACAACGCGAGGGGGCAGAUUUAUCAGCAUGCUUCACUGAUGUUGUUAUGGAGGCGCCAGAAUGCCUUCCGUCCGUCCUUCUUCCCAACAGCCGCCGGGGAAGAGUUCCGGAAAAGUCACUUUCAUUCUCUUCCGCCGUGCCGUUCGCCAGCCUGCAGCGGCCGCUUCACGUGUCGCCCAAGUGUUAUACUGGAGAAGAAAACACCCUCUGCUGUGACCCAGGACCAUUUCUUGCAGCAAACAGACGAAAGGCCGCUCGCAGUUCGGAGAACGCAAAGCUGAGCGAGACCUUCGACUGGAAUGCCAGCCCUUUGGAGGCCGUUGGCUGGUUGUCCUCAACAGGGCGAGACUUGGACGUGGACUGUCGCCCAACCGGAGGAAAGUUCUAAAUGGCACUUUGCGUGUGCAUGUGGUCAAGCUAUGGAGAGAGACGAAUGGCUUUCUGAGGCGAACCGAAGCCUUCGGAGUAACGAGGGGUUUGUAAAUCAAACGAUAAUGAGCUUUUUAAGGGAGCUGGAGAGCAGUUUUGUUUUCCAGUUACUUCCCUUUGCUGAAGUGUCUAAAAUACUAUAGUAAACAACUGUAUCCCGACACAUAAACAGCUCUGUUGCCUUGGGGACACACGCACCAUUUGUAUCAUUUCCAGGCCUACUAGCCAGGAAGGGGCAACUGGCAGUGUAGUGGUUUGAGGUGUGGUUUUUGCACCCAAAGGUCACAGGUUUGAAUCCCACGCCAGGCUGUAGUACCCUUGAGCAAAGUACUUACCCUAAACUGCUGCAGUAAAAUUGCCCGGCUCUUUCAAGCGGUAAAUAAUUGUAACUUAACAUUGUGAGUCUCUUCGGAGAAAUUCAUCAGUUAAGUAAAUAAAUGUAACCUAGUAAAGCUCA